RNAcentral lists this ribosomal RNA (479 nucleotides) under uncultured Planctomycetota bacterium. Its description in RNAcentral is "bacterial SSU rRNA". It matches the Rfam family "Bacterial small subunit ribosomal RNA", at positions 364 to 833 of the family's 1533-position model. The record is from RNAcentral. Lineage: Bacteria; Pseudomonadati; Planctomycetota.
UUUCGCAAUGCCCGAAAGGGUGACGAAGCGACGCCGCGUGUGGGAAGAAGGUCUUCGGGUUGUAAACCACUGUCGGGAGUUAGGAAAUGUAAGGGUGCUAAUAGUACCCUUACUUGACUAAGGCUCCGGAGGAAGCCACGGCUAACUCUGUGCCAGCAGCCGCGGUAAUACAGAGGCGGCAAGCGUUGUUCGGAAUUAUUGGGCGUAAAGAGCACGUAGGCGGCCUUGUAAGUCAGUUGUGAAAGCCUUCUGCUUAACGGAAGAACAGCAGCUGAUACUGCAAGGCUAGAGUGCGGAAGGGGAGAGUGGAACUUCUGGUGGAGCGGUGAAAUGCGUAGAUAUCAGAAGGAACACCGGCGGCGAAGGCGACUCUCUGGUCCGUAACUGACGCUGAGUGUGCGAAAGCUAGGGGAGCAAACGGGAUUAGAUACCCCGGUAGUCCUAGCCGUAAACGAUGGGCACUAAGUAGAGGGGUUUUA